UUAUAUACACAAAUUAACAGUUAAUUAUUUUAACUAAUUCUAAAACUUCUGGACUCGUGGGCUGGACUUCUAUUUGAUCCGAGUCCUGGUCUAACUUGUUAAUUGUGUAUUUUAAAUGAAUCUGCAAAAAUACCCAAGAGUUAUUAGUAUUCACACAUAGGUAUUUUAUUUUGAUUUGUGAUUUAUAUAAAAGUCCUUAGAUUAAUAUAAAACUAAAAUAUUAAAACAAUUGGAACUUUUAUACUUAAGACCUCUGUAAAAACAUUACAGAAGUAUUUUAGAACCUUUUAUUAUUUGUAUUGUACUUUAGGUCCAACUAACGAAUUAAUUGGAACUUUUGUAUUUUAAGUCCCUGUUGGUUAAUACAAAACAGUUUAUUCUGUUUUGUAGAAACCUUAGGACUUUUUAUAUUAGACUUAGGUCCUAACUUAGUUUCUUAGGGUAAACUUUUAUUUUACCCUAGAUUUCAGCUGUAUUUCUUAUACAUACGAACCUAACCGAAUUGUGUCACUCGUCUGAUCUCAUUUCCUGCAAUGUUAAUAGUAUCACACGUCUGAUCCCAAAUUGAAUCUCACCAUUGUAAAUAACAAAAUCUCACACAUAAAUUGCAAAUCGUUCCCAAAUAACAAAAUCUCAGAAUAGCAAAUAACAAAAUCUCACACAUAAGUAGCCAACGUUCGCAAAAUCUCACCAUUGCAAAUCGUUUCCAAAUAACAAAAUCGCAGAAUAGCAAAAAACAAAAUCUCAUACAUAAAUAGCCAAUCGUUCACAAGAUAACAGGAAAGGGAUAGAAAGUUAAAAAAUACCUGACGAUGGAAGAAGAAGAAAAACAUACCAGGACGACGACAAGUAGGCGAGACCGACGAAGACGAAGACACCGAAAAUGAAGACAAAGAUGGAGAUGAACCAAGACGAAUAGGAAGAUGAACUAAGACGAAUACGAACAUAACUACGAAAAGGCGAUAUCAUCGGGGACAAAUUUCAAAGCGCAGAAUGCAAAAACAACGACGAACAGAGAACGAAGAAUCCAGUCACCGACGAACGGAGACGAAGAUAGAAAUAAAUAUACGGAAAAUGGAAAAAUUGGAAAAUAAAUACUGACAGUAAUACAUCUACAUCUACUACUGACACUACAUCUGAUCACCUACAAAAAUACCUAUGGAAUUACUAAACUAAUAACGAAAUUAAACUAAAAUCAAAAAUUUCAAAACUAUCGGUUGAUCCAAUGUACGGACCAUGAUCAAUGUGCACACCCCUGAUUGGCUGUGAUAAAAUAUUAUAUUGUAAUUUUUUAUUUAACCCUUUUAAAACAUUAAUAUAAUAUAAAAGUAUAUUUUGAACCGAGCUCUAUAAUCUAUAUUAUUAUAAAAUUCCUUAUAAUUGUACGACAUGCUUCAAUCUAUAAAUGAGAGAUUAAUUUUAUAAAUUUGAUAGGUUUGCAUAAAAUAAAAGUAUAAAAUCGUUGAUUGAUAAUUGAUAUGAAUCAAUUAUUAAAAAAUGAGUUAUUUUUCCUCUUUAGUUACCACAUUAUAUAUCGAGUUGAUCCUUUAAUUUAGUUAUUCAGUGUGUGUGUGUGUGUUUUGGAAUAAGUGACAGCAAUAUCUCCCAUAUGGAUUGCUCUAAGUAUGAUUUUCAUUUCUUUUUCGAAGGGGCUUUUCCCAUUUUCGUAGGCUUGGCUGCACCUUACAGUUUCAAUUUUGGCUUUCUUCAUUGCUUCAUCCAUCAACUCAAUCUUGCCGGUUUCAACCAAUGGGAAAGCGUCACUUACAAUUUGCACGAUGCUCGACAAAUGUUCCAAACAUAUUUCCAAAGGUUCGAUUUCUUCGGGCUUUAUUUUCUUAUCAGCCAGAAUUUCGUCAGACGACGAGAUGGUGUCUUCGGCUGCAAUGUAAGCUUCCCGGAGUGUUUGGUUCAUCAGGCAAUUCGUGUUCGUGCAUUGAUUGGAAAUACUAACAAGGAAAGUUUUACACAAACUUUCAUCUUCUUUAUUAGAACAUGAUUCACAUACUUCCUUGAAAAAUGGGUUCAACUCUUUGGAGGAGGAGACAUGGUCGACGAACAAGAGAGAUGUGAGGAGGAAGAGGAAGAGAAACCACGACGACGGCAACGAGGCGGAGUCCAUUAUUUUGAUAAGAAUCUUUCAAUGUUUUUCGGAUAUGGAGCUAGCGAAAAGAUAGAAGGUGGUAGGUAAGUAGUAUUGGAUUGGUUUUUAUACAAAGAUCA
This 2223-nucleotide long non-coding RNA is filed under the name Zostera marina. Its description in RNAcentral is "long non-coding RNA (ZMAR_LNC003812)". The record is from RNAcentral. Lineage: Eukaryota; Viridiplantae; Streptophyta; Magnoliopsida; Alismatales; Zosteraceae.